RNAcentral lists this ribosomal RNA (258 nucleotides) under uncultured bacterium. RNAcentral describes it as "partial 16S ribosomal RNA". It matches the Rfam family "Bacterial small subunit ribosomal RNA", at positions 793 to 1055 of the family's 1533-position model. The record is from RNAcentral.
GUCCACGCAGUAAACGAUGAUAACUCGCUAUCGGCGAUACACAGUCGGUGGCUAAGCGAAAGCGAUAAGUUAUCCACCUGGGGAGUACGUUCGCAAGAAUGAAACUCAAAGGAAUUGACGGGGGCCCGCACAAGCGGAGGAACAUGUGGUUUAAUUCGAUGAUACGCGAGGAACCUUACCCGGGCUUGAAAGUUAUCGACGAUUCUGGAAACAGGAUUUCCCUUCGGGGCGAGAAACUAGGUGCUGCAUGGUUGUCGU